CUACACUCUAAAUUAUUUGUUUCCCAAAAUAACUUUCUGCUUGUGGCUAGUCAGACAAACAUCAGGCGAAACUGUCAAGUCAGUGAAAUGCGUCUGUCCUUCCCUCUCCUGCUCCAUCUUCCUGGCCCUCAACUCUCCACCCUCUGGCCACCUUCUCCAACCAGGUUCUCCCACUGCCCAUCAAAGUCCCACAUGGCUGUGCAUUCUAAUAGGCCCUGGGGAACCAAGACAGCAUGACCUGAGCCCCCACCAUUAGGGAGUGCGACAUUCAAUUAAAGACGUUCUAAUGCCUUCAACAUAAGUACUGUGGACUUUUACCCGCUAGAUGUGUACUGACCCCUCCUAGUGCCAACACCAUGUUAAUUGGUGGUGACAGAGGUUACAAAGACAGGCUUCCUGACCUCAAAGAGCUCCCACUCCAGCAGUUGCACAAUUACAUGCCGGUAUGUACUGCAGGGAGACAGGAUGUGAGAGCUGGGGUGGGGGCACAGUCUACUCUGCCCUCGGGGGUGUGCCUCUGCUUCUUUUUUCUUCCCUGUUUCUCUCGCAGUCAGGGAGGUAAGCCAAGUGCUGGAGCUACAACCUGCUCUGGGCCCAGAGGAGAGACUCAAAAAGGCCAUGCUGGGUGGAAGACACAAGGUCAAUUCCCAGGAUGGAACUCUAGGCACAGAGUACCUGAGAACGAAGGACUGACGUGAAACUGACCUGAUCCCCUUAACUGCUGGGUGACUUCAGGCAAAUCACCUAACCUCUCUGAGCCUCUGUUCUCAUUUCCUUCAUUCGCUUAACAAACAUUAGGGUGAGAGUCAGAGGUAUAGGUUUUGGGGUUGCCCCUGUCUCUAAACCUGUUUUCAUUUAUAAAACUACACGGGGGUUAAAGUUCCCAGGGGCAAAGCAACUAGCAGUGUCUGUACCUAGUAGGUAUUCGAUGGUCUAGUUUCUGUACCCCCUUCCCUGCCCAGCCCAGUUUCCAUCUCCUAUUCAUCUGAGAUUUAUUUCCCCCCACGUUGUGAAAGUCACUGUGCCUAAAUAUUUUGUUUCUUCAAGGAGUUGCAGCAGCCUGGGAAGUGAGAGGGGGCUAAGCUGGCGGGGCUCUGGACACACAAGUGGGCUCUCCCAGUUUGCAAACUUCAGGUCUUCCCCGAUGCCAUUCGUUUUAACUCAUUUCAACAUUCCAUAAAUUCAAAUUAAUAAAGAGCCAGCCUGAGUCUGAAUCCAAUCCUUCCACAAUAAGGGUUUAUUUAAAGACAAAACAAAACAGACCCAAAGCAGCAACUUCCCAUUUUCAUGUGACAGAUACAUUCCAACUGCAGAUUUAAAAUCUUGGAGUGGGUUUACCACCUUCCUUCUGGAAAGAAACCAGAAUAAGAAGCCAAACAUCACACUUAAGAGUCCUCAUCAAUGGAUCUGGCAAAGUCACAGGAUACAAAAUUAAUACACAGGAAUUGACUGCAUUUCUAUAUACUAGCAAUGAAAGAUCAGAAAGAGAAAUUAGGGAAACAAUCCCAUUUACCAUCACAUCAAAAAGAAUGAGAUACUUAGGAAAAAUACCUACUUAAAGAGACAAAAGACCUGUUCUCUGAAAAUUAUAAGAUGCUGAUGAAAGAAAUCAAAGAUGACACAAAAGGAAAGACAUACCAUGCUCUUGGACUGGAAGAAUCAAUAUUAUCAAAAUGACUAUAUUACCCAAGGCAAUCUACCAAUUCAAUGCAAUCCCUAUCAAAUUACCAAAAACAUUUUCCACAGAACUACAACAAAAUAUUUUAAAGUUUGUUUGGAGGUACAAAAGACCCAGAAUAGCCAAAGUCCAUCUCGAGAAAGAAAAAUGGAGCUGGAGGAAUCAGGCUCCCUGAGUUCAGACCAUACUACAAAGCUACAGUCAUCAAAACCGUAUGGUACUGGCACAAAGACAGAAAUACAGCUCAGUGGAGCAGGAUAGAAAGCCCAGAAUUAAACCCACGCAGCUACAGUUAACUAAUCUGACAAAGGAGGCAAGAAUAUACAAUGGAGAAAAGACAGCCCCUUCAAUAAGUGGUGCUGGGAAAACUGGACAGCCACAUGGAAAAGAAUGAAAUUAGAACACUCCCUAACACCAUACACAAAAAUAAACUCCAAAUGGAUUAAAGGCCUAGAUAUAAGACCAGAUACUAUAAAAUUCUUAGAGGAAAACAUAGGCCAAACACCCUCUGACAUAAACCAUGGCAAUAUCCUUCUCAGAUCCACCUCCUAGAGUAAUGACAAUAAAAACAAAAAUUAACAAAUGGGACCUAAUUAAACUUAAAAAGUUUCUGCAAAGUAAAGGAAAUCCUAAACAAAACGAAAAGACAACCCACAGAAUGGGGGAAAAAUCUUUGCAAAUGAAUUGACUGCCAAGGGAUUAAUCUCCAAAAUUUAUAAACACCUUCUGCAGCUCAAUACCAAACAAACCACCCCAUAAAAAAAUGAGCAGAAGAUCUAAACAGACAGUUCUCCAAAGACAUACAGAUGGUCAAAAAACACAUGAAAAGAUGUUCAACAUCACUCAUUAUUAGAGAAAUGCAAACCAAAACCACUAUGAUGUAUCAUAUUACACCAGCCAGAACGGCUGUCAUCAAAAAGCCUACAAACAGUAAGUGUUAGGGAGGGUGUGGAGAGAAAGGAACCCUAGUACACUGUUGGUGGGAAUGUAAACUGGUGCAACCACUUUGGAAAACAGUAUGGAGAUGCCUCAGAAAACUAAAAACAGAACUACCAUUUGAUCCAGCAAUCCCACCCCUGGGCAUCUAUCCAGAGAAAACCACAACUCACAAAGACACAUGGACUCUGAUGUUCACUGCAGCACUAUAUACAACAGCCAAGACAUGGAAACAACCUAAAUGCCCAUCGACAGAGGAGGGGAUCCAGAAGAUGUGGUCCACACACACAGUGGAAUAUUACGCAGCCAUUCAAAAGAAAGACACACAGCAUUUGCAGCCACAUGGAUGGACCUAGAAAUGAUCCUGCUGAGUGAAGUCAGGCAAUGAGACACCAGCAUCAAAUGCUGUCACUUACCUGUGGAAUCUAAUAAAGGGAUACAAUGAACCUCUUUGCAGAACAGAUACUGACUCACAGACUUUGAAAAACGUAUGGUUUCCAAAGGAGACAGGUUGGGGGGUGGGGGGAUGGGCUGGGGUUUGGGAUGGAAAUGCUAUAAAAUUGGGUUGUGAUGAUCGUUGUGUACCUACAAAUGUAAUAAAAUUCACUGAGUAAUUAAAAAAAUAAAUAGCCGUUUUAACAAGGUGUAUAAUAAAGGGUCUUUAUUCCGGGGCUGGUGAGGGAAGGCAGUUACCGCUCUGGGUCUAGAGGCGGAAGAAAUCCAGGCGCUGCUCCCCGAGCUGCCUCCCUCGGAGACGGUCUCUGCAAAACAGGUGAAUGCUGACUUCAACUCUCAGCGCAGCACACCUCUUGCUGAGGAAGGGUUUUGGGUUUUGUUUUAAAGCAGAAACACCAGUAAGUGUGUCUGGCCCCGGAGCCAGAGCUCCAACAGCCUGCUGGUGUCGGGACAGCCCGGUCGUGCAGUCCAGGCAGGCACCAGCGCUCCCGCCAGCUGGGAAAGGCUGGCCCAGCGCCUCAAGCUCCGGCACCCCUGCGACUCUGGCUGGGCCCAGGCCCCAGCACCUUGUUACAACCGCCAGCCCACCCUCGAGUGAGGUCAUCUGCAGAGAUUCCUUGUGAAAGGCCACGGGGCUGCCCGGCACCCAGCAGCUGGGGUGUCUCGGGGACACUUGGCAAAUUUCUCAGGAGGUCAGCUGCAGCUUUUUGACACGCUCCUCGGACCCGGCACUCGGCGGGCUCCGCGGCCCCACACCAGGCCUGCACCCAGCCAGCCAGGGAGCCUGCGUGCUUCUUCCUGCUUGUUAAAUCCUCACGAAAGUGAACUGCCAACGAGGGCCUUACAGUGUGGCAGGCAGCUUCAGACACUCAGGAAAGAAACCAGACGGGACAGACCAAAGCUCUCAGGGGACUCGGGGACCAGCAGGGUCAGGCAGGGGUGUCUGCUGGCUCCCUCUGCACUCAGGGCUUGGGCGUGGGUGUGGAGGGGUGUGUCCGCAGAGAACCCAAGGGCCCCCAGGGUCCUCUCACCCCUUCAUGUUCCUAUAGGAAGAGAGCUAUGAUUUAUAAAGUAAGUUGAUGUUAUUUCAUUUAAUUCCGACAGCACUGCAGAUUUCCUUGGCAAGAACUAUCCCCUUUUUCCAGCUGAGAAAAAUCGAGGCUAAGAAAGAUCAAGAGGAGGUCCCGUUGUGGCACAGUGGAAACGAAUCUGAGUAGGAGCCAAGAGGUUGUGGCUUUGAUCCCUGACCUUGCUCAGUGGGUUGAGGAUCUGGCGUUGCUGUGAGCUGUGGUGUAGGUCGCAGACGCAGCUCGGAUCUGGCAUUGCCAUGGCUGUGGUAUAGGCCGGCAGCUGUAGCUCCCAUUAGACCCCUAGCCUGGGAACCACCGUAUGCAGCAGGUGAGGCCCUAAAAAGCCAAAAAAAAAAAAAAAAACCCCACAAAAAACCCCAGAAAGAUCAAGAGACUGGCCCCGUCCACAAAGGUGGUUCAGGGCAGAACCAGGAUUACAAGCUGAGCUCCCGGACUCUCGCCCGAGACCGGGGCCGGUCCCCUGCUCCCAGCCCUCCCAGGAGGAGGGCCGCUGCACUGACUGCCACGGUUGACCUCUGGCCCCAGAACGGGCCCCGCUCUGGUCCACCUGCCCGUACCUGCAAAGCUGCUUCUGGCUCCUGAUUCCUCGCCUACUUAUACCCUGGCCUUGGCUUUACAAAGCGCUUCCUAACUCUCCCAAGGAUCAGAAAAGCUCAUUUUGAAACUGAGAUUAGAACCCAGGACUCCCGACUCACUCCCUAAGGACCCAUCUACCUACUGUUACACGCCAGGUGUUAAAUACAUUCUUGUUAGUUAUCAAAUGGAGCCAUCAUAGAAGAGUAAAGUUCUGGUCACUGUGUCACCCCAGGUCACCAGAGCAUGUUGCCACAUGGGAAGAAUGUCCUUUUCACAAACCCCGUCCGUUAGAAAUAACGCAGAGGCAGGCUCUUAAACAAAGGAUAACUUCCUGGAUCCCAAACCCCAAGUUUAUAGAAAGGGUGCGACCACCUCUGUGUAGCCCUGCUUUUCCUUGUGGAAACUGGUGAGGUUCUCAUCAACUCCCUUGAUUCUGACUAAAAGGUCUCUAGUUUCCUCUCGGAAAUAACGAGCGGUGGUAAUUCUAUGAUCGGUUUAAUGUGUAUUUGCGGCAACAUUUAGAGGCAACGAAAAGGGCCUGUGCCGGGUCGCCCACAACCGCUUCCUUGCCUAUCAGCAUGGGGGUCAUGCCCUGUCCUAAAACACACGGGGUUCCAUCCGAGAAAGGAGAAGCUGUCAGCGGUUAGAACACACACACUCUCCUCCUCGCGCUCCAGAGAGAUGGAGACGUGCGGAGAGAGAACCAGCAGCGGGAACCUUCCCACCUCCUCGAUUUCCAUUUCUUAGAAACCGUCUCUGUAGGAGCAUCCCUUCUCACAUUCACGCCCAGAGGCAGAUUCCCGGAGAAGAGAUGGAGGAAAGAGAAGGAAUAAGAGUCACAAAAGACUGGUUUGAGCACUGAUAAUUACAGCAGCUGAAAAGCUUGCCAGAGCAAAGAAGGAGCCUGUGAACAAAACACAACGAGGGCACUUCCCAGAAAACUGCCCAGCCACGAGAUCACCAGCAACAAUGAGGAAAUCACAGCCAAGACCGCAUCUCCGCUCAGCAGACAGGCUUGCAGGAUUUUUCACCUGCACCGCCACAAGCAGCCUCUUUAAAAAGAGCAGUAGGCUCCAUGAGUUCGACAAAGGAGGAAACACAAAAGAUAGCAAGAGACUCUUCUGGAUGCACAGUUCCCAUUCCGCAUUCCGAACUCCACACCAGCAACAGCACAGCGCCAGGGAGGCACAAGGUGGGGUCCUCGGCACCUUUACACGCGAUCAAACCAAUUAUCCACGCUGCAUCCGAGCUUGCAGUCAACACCGACCCGCACCGCCUCUGCACCUCCGGCCCCCAGGACCCUGCCAAAGCCCACCACAGAAAAGCAGCCUUUUUGUGUGAGAACCAGCGAGAGCCUAAGCUGUCAUUACACAGCAAAAACCCAGCGAGAACAAAAACCCACUGGCAGACGGAUGUAGAGAACCCAGAACAUACCUGAAUUCUUCAAAUGCAAACAUGACCUAGUCGGAGACAAUUGCCUUGGACUGUCGGCUAGCCUUUUUGGUUCGGAGGACAACCAUUUAGUCAGUGAGAUGGUGCAAAGUGCAGAAAAAA
Molecule: long non-coding RNA, 6291 nt
Filed under: Sus scrofa (pig)
Lineage: Eukaryota; Metazoa; Chordata; Mammalia; Artiodactyla; Suidae
Description: lncRNA (ENSSSCG00050016582.1)
Source: RNAcentral